This 332-nucleotide ribosomal RNA is filed under the name uncultured bacterium. RNAcentral's name for it is "bacterial SSU rRNA". It matches the Rfam family "Bacterial small subunit ribosomal RNA", at positions 568 to 898 of the family's 1533-position model. The record is from RNAcentral.
CGUGUAGGCGGUUGGUCAAGUCGGGUGUGAAAGCCUGGGGCUCAGCCCCAGAAGUGCAUCCGAAACUAGCCAGCUAGAGCGCGAUAGAGGAGGGUGGAAUUCCUGGUGUAGCGGUGAAAUGCGUAGAUAUCAGGAGGAACACCGGCGGCGAAGGCGGCCCUCUGGAUCGUUGCUGACGCUGAGACGCGAAAGCGCGGGGAGCAAACAGGAUUAGAUACCCUGGUAGUCCACGCCUUAAACGAUGGGUACUAGGUGUUCGGGGUGUUGACCCCCUGAGUGCCGCAGUUAACGCAUUAAGUACCCCGCCUGGGGACUACGACCGCAAGGUUAAA